UUUUUUCACUUAGCAUGUAUCAUCUUAGGUUGGGUGUACUGGGUAGGUCUGAUGACCUGGGUUUAGUCAGAUAAUACAUGCUAAGUUUUUCCUGGAUUUAUUAAUAAAAUGAUUUUGCUUAUAAAAAAAAAAGUGAAGUCUAGCAUUGGGGAGCAUGAAUCAAGCUUCCUCAACAUAAAUUUGGAUUGCAUUUAGACUUUGAGUUGGUGGUACUAAAAUAUAAAGAAUUUUUGCAUGGAAAGGGAUCGUAACCUUUCACUCAAAGGAUUCAAUAUUGGAGUCAGGAAGUUGUUCUGUUUUUAUAUCAUCAAAUGUAGCAUCAUCACAUAACAGAGUAUGUGGAACUUUGCUUUUGAUUUUAUUAGCAAACAGAAAGAAUUUCAAUAAUAACAAUAACAACAUCUCUGAUUGCGGAAAUCAACUUCAACGGAAUUUUUGUGCAUGAAUUGAUUAAAAAUGUGAAAGCUUUGAUCUAGCAGCUCCAUUUUUGAAGAAGAUAAUGGUCUUAGCUUUGCACCAAUUUGGCAUUUCUAUGGUGUCUACCUGUAUUGUUCAUUUCUUAAUACCAUCAAAGCCAGUUUGAUUAUGGUCUUAAAAUAGCUCAUAAGAUCAAACAUAUUAGAGAGAGAUUAUAUGAUAUUGUCUGCAGAAUGAUGAUGAAGCUGUUGCUCUUAGUCUCACUUGCUGUUUGAUAAAUCUUAUUUUCUCUUUUCAAAAGCAAUAAGUUGAUUUCACAGAUUGCAGCGCGGAAGUUGUUCUGUUUUUGUCUCAGCAACAGAGCAUAGCGUCAC
Molecule: unclassified non-coding RNA, 791 nt
Filed under: Hevea brasiliensis (rubber tree)
Lineage: Eukaryota; Viridiplantae; Streptophyta; Magnoliopsida; Malpighiales; Euphorbiaceae
Source: RNAcentral